This 126-nucleotide ribosomal RNA is filed under the name Saitozyma flava. Its description in RNAcentral is "partial small subunit ribosomal RNA". It matches the Rfam family "Eukaryotic small subunit ribosomal RNA", at positions 1657 to 1779 of the family's 1831-position model. The record is from RNAcentral. Lineage: Eukaryota; Fungi; Basidiomycota; Tremellomycetes; Tremellales; Trimorphomycetaceae.
CCUUUGUACACACCGCCCGUCGCUACUACCGAUUGAAUGGCUUAGUGAGAUCUCCGGAUUGCUGUGGAGGGAGCCGGCAACGGCACCUUCCUCGCGAGAAGUUGAUCAAACUUGGUCAUUUAGAGG